RNAcentral lists this ribosomal RNA (402 nucleotides) under Verrucomicrobiota bacterium. RNAcentral's name for it is "Verrucomicrobia bacterium partial 16S ribosomal RNA". It matches the Rfam family "Bacterial small subunit ribosomal RNA", at positions 355 to 776 of the family's 1533-position model. Lineage: Bacteria; Pseudomonadati; Verrucomicrobiota. The record is from RNAcentral.
UGGGGAAUUUUGCACAAUGGGGGAAACCCUGAUGCAGCGACGCCGCGUGAUUUAGAAGGCCUUCGGGUUGUAAAAAUCUUUUGUAUGGGAAGAAAAUGAUAGUACCAUACGAAUAAGGACCGGCUAAUUACGUGCCAGCAGCCGCGGUAAUACGUAAGGUCCGAGCGUUGUCCGGAAUCAUUGGGCGUAAAGGGUACGUAGGCGGAUAAGCAAGUUAGAAGUGAAAUCCUAUAGCUCAACUAUAGUAAGCUUUUAAAACUGCUCAUCUUGAGGUAUGGAAGGGAAAGUGGAAUUCCUAGUGUAGCGGUGAAAUGCGCAGAUAUUAGGAGGAAUACCGGUGGCGAAGGCGACUUUCUGGCCAUAUACUGACGCUGAGGUACGAAAGCGUGGGUAGCAAACAGG